AGAUCCCUUCAUUUGCUUUCAGAUUUUCAGACGAUGCUGGUUGGUUUUCAAGAAAGCUUCUAGUAAAGGACCCAGAAGGCUGGAGAAAUUUCCAGAUGAAAAGGCAGCGUAUUUCAGAAACUUCCAUAAGGUAACUGAACUGCACAACAUCAAAAAUAUAACCAGACUGCCUCGAGAGACAAAGAAGCAUGCAGUAGCAAUUAUCUUUCAUGAUGAAACGUCGAAGACAUUUGCCUGUGAGUCAGAGCUGGAGGCUGAAGAAUGGUGCAAACAUCUCUGCAUGGAGUGUCUGGGGACACGGCUGAACGACAUCAGCCUUGGGGAGCCUGAUCUUCUGGCAGCUGGAGUACAGAGAGAGCAGAAUGAGAGAUUCAAUGUAUACCUUAUGCCUACACCAAAUCUGGAUAUUUAUGGCGAAUGCACAAUGCAGAUCACUCAUGAGAAUAUCUAUCUCUGGGAUAUCCACAAUGCCAAGGUCAAACUGGUGAUGUGGCCUCUCAGCUCACUGAGGAGAUAUGGACGGGACUCAACGUGGUUCACCUUUGAGUCAGGAAGGUAAGCUCUAAGUGUCACAACCAGGGGGUGGGUGAAAAAUAAACUCCUGAAGGAAAGGUUCUGUCCAUCUGCCCAGGAUGACCACUGUGUUUAGAAAGGGUACAAAUGACCAAAUAUAUAAUUUCUCCAGAUUCUUUUUUGUUUUUUUUAAUAUGAAAUUUAUUGUCAAAUUGGUUUCCAUACAACACCCAGUGGUCAUUCCAACAUCAGAGGAGGUGCCUUCCUCAGAUUCGUGUUGAUAAUCUAAAUAAAGUGUGUUCAUUCUAUGACAGGUUAAUUACCCCAUUCUAAAAAAUUUCAGUCUUUUACACUGGCCUCAAACUGAUUUCAUAAUUAUUUCUAUCAUGCCAUAUAGUUUGCAAUAUUAUUACAAUACUAUAUUUUUAGUGUAUCCAAUAAUAUUAUCAGUGCAAUAGGAUUCCCGUAAAAUUCAACAUGUCCCUACUAGCCUUAUUUUUGUGAGUUCUUUAUAAGCAAAAAAAUUUUGAAAGGAGUUUUACAUUAAAUUGUUUAAAUAUUACAUUUUAAUAUUGCCAAUAUUAUUAUUGCCGAUAAAUUAGUCCAGUAUUCAUUUAUCCAGAUUUUUAUGUUAACAUUAAUUAAGUGUAAAUGUUAAUUCAGAGUGACUGAAGAAAUAUUUUGAAAUAUGUAACAUAUGAAAUGUAUAACACAGAUUUUAAAUACAGUAUGUCAAAAGCAAGUAUGUUGGUUUCUUAAUUAUAGCACAUGAUUGGAAUCCAUAAAUGUUUUAAAUGAGUGGUUGUUUCAUAAUCACAAUUUACAGACAGAAGUUUAGACAUGAGCUUCAACCAGCUAAGUGAAUAUCUUUGUGCAAUGACCCCUACCCCUUUGUGAUAUUGUUGUCACAUAUACAAGACAAGACCUACUUAGAUUUGGGGAUUCUGUAUAAUAAGAGAUGUUUAACGUAUCGGUCUUCACACUGGGGACAUGAUUUAUCACAUUCUGAAAAUGAAUCUGUGACAUUAUAAGAUAAUUUUAGCAAAGUUUUAUUGUACUUGAUACAGCA
This is a long non-coding RNA of Panthera uncia (snow leopard), 1582 nucleotides long. RefSeq lists it as uncharacterized. The record is from RefSeq and is a predicted model, not a curated record. The transcript has 4 exons. Lineage: Eukaryota; Metazoa; Chordata; Mammalia; Carnivora; Felidae.